AAUAAGAUCAUUUUUCAGUUUUUUGAUACAAUGUUUUGACUCUUCGUCUUAUUUAAAUUUUUUUACGAUUAAUAUUUUUAUUCUUACUAGAUGAUAAAACAUAAAUGUUAAUUUAUUCGUGACUAAUUUUUAAAAGUUUUUAUAUAAAUUUUUUAAAUAAAACGAAUGAUCAAACAUUAGACAUGAAAAA
This 190-nucleotide microRNA precursor is filed under the name Oryza brachyantha (malo sina). Its description in RNAcentral is "MIR812 microRNA precursor family". It matches the Rfam family "MIR812 microRNA precursor family". Lineage: Eukaryota; Viridiplantae; Streptophyta; Magnoliopsida; Poales; Poaceae. The record is from Rfam by way of RNAcentral.